This 200-nucleotide unclassified non-coding RNA is filed under the name Hevea brasiliensis (rubber tree). Lineage: Eukaryota; Viridiplantae; Streptophyta; Magnoliopsida; Malpighiales; Euphorbiaceae. The record is from RNAcentral.
UUUUUUUUUUUUUUUUUUUUUUUUAGCAAUGCAACCCUUAAUUCCAUUCUGCGGCAAUAGUAAGCAGGAGUUCACCAUGACACCAGAAAAAAAGGAAUUUCCUGUGGCCUAUGAUAAAAAUAAGUUCAGAACCUCUUAACACAUUAUUUCAAGUUGCAUAAAUACCACAAAGCCGCAACUUCUGGAGUAACUAACAAAGC